GUGUGAUAGAAGGGCUGGUUAAUGAAGACACUCUCAAGUCAUUGGUUUCCAGUACUCAUGGUUAUCCAUAAAUAUUCUUCAGUAGAGACUUAAAAUUCACUGCCUCAGUUCUUAAAGUUCUUGCCAACUGGUUGGCCAUCCCAUGUCUCCAUUAAUUACAGCCUCACUAGCCUAUGAAGAAGGGGAAGGAAUGAUCAACCUUGAAUUUUAAAGCAUUAUGAGGAAUAUGGAAGGUGAAGGGAGAGCUCUACGUUUCCCAAAUAUAGCUACAGUACUUAUUUCUCACAGAAACAGCCUUAGUUGAUCAUCUUUGUGCUCUACUUUUUUGUACAUAGAGGUUUGUGUUGAAAUGAAGAUCCAGCACUCAAGAAUUUGUUAGAAAACAUUUUAAUUUGUUUUUAACAAAUAUACAAUAAUCAAGAAGUGAAAAAUUAUACAGUAUCUUCCAUGCAAUGCCUUUAAUUCUGAAGGUUAAUGUUGCUUUUAAAAGAUAGCAAACUUCCUUUGUCUAUGUAGAUAUAGAAUACAGGAUGGUGUUUGUGGCAUAAGGAUGUCUUAUUCCAAUAGAAUACCUGAUGAUAUGAAAUAAAUGUUUUAUCA
Chelonia mydas (Green sea turtle) is the source of this 600-nucleotide long non-coding RNA. RefSeq lists it as uncharacterized. The transcript has 3 exons. Lineage: Eukaryota; Metazoa; Chordata; Testudines; Cheloniidae. The record is from RefSeq and is a predicted model, not a curated record.